UUCGGGGACAGGGUGACAGGUGCUGCAUGGCUGUCGUCAGCUCGUGUCGUGAGAUGUUGGGUUAAGUCCCGCAACGAGCGUAACCCUUGUUUUUAGUUGCCUUUCGAGGAUAUUUAGAAAGACUGCCGAUUAUAAAUCGGAGGAAGGUAAGGACGACGUCAAGUCAUCAUGCCCCUUACACUCUGGGCUACACACGUGCUACAUUGGGUAGAACAAUAAGUUGCUAAGUUGCGAAACCAAGCGAAUCUUCAAAUCUACUCUAAGUUCGGAUUGUAGGCUGCAACU
Molecule: ribosomal RNA, 285 nt
Filed under: Karenia brevis
Lineage: Eukaryota; Dinophyceae; Gymnodiniales; Kareniaceae
Description: partial Bacterial small subunit ribosomal RNA
Rfam family: Bacterial small subunit ribosomal RNA
Source: RNAcentral